UAGGAUUUAGCUAAGUGGUAUAGCAACAAUUAAAAUCUCAACUUAAAUUGAAGACAGAGUUUCGAUUACUCUAAUCCUAA
This 80-nucleotide transfer RNA is filed under the name Paramarasmius palmivorus. Its description in RNAcentral is "Marasmius palmivorus tRNA-Glu". It matches the Rfam family "tRNA". From Rfam's summary of the family: Transfer RNA (tRNA) molecules are approximately 80 nucleotides in length. The record is from RNAcentral. Lineage: Eukaryota; Fungi; Basidiomycota; Agaricomycetes; Agaricales; Marasmiaceae.